This 497-nucleotide ribosomal RNA is filed under the name uncultured bacterium. RNAcentral's name for it is "partial 16S ribosomal RNA". It matches the Rfam family "Bacterial small subunit ribosomal RNA", at positions 28 to 507 of the family's 1533-position model. The record is from RNAcentral.
GAUGAACGCUGGCGGCGUGCCUAAUACAUGCAAGUCGAGCGAACGGACGAGAAGCUUGCUUCUCUGAUGUUAGCGGCGGACGGGUAAGUAACACGUGGAUAACCUACCUAUAAGACUGGGAUAACUUCGGGAAACCGGAGCUAAUACCGGAUAAUAUUUUGAACCGCAUGGUUCAAAAGUGAAAGACGGUCUUGCUGUCACUUAUAGAUGGAUCCGCGCUGCAUUAGCUAGUUGGUAAGGUAACGGCUUACCAAGGCAACGAUGCAUAGCCGACCUGAGAGGGUGAUCGGCCACACUGGAACUGAGACACGGUCCAGACUCCUACGGGAGGCAGCAGUAGGGAAUCUUCCGUAAUGGGCGAAAGCCUGACGGAGCAACGCCGCGUGAGUGAUGAAGGUCUUCGGAUCGUAAAACUCUGUUAUUAGGGAAGAACAUAUGUGUAAGUAACUGUGCACAUCUUGACGGUACCUAAUCAGAAAGCCACGGCUAACUACGUG